RNAcentral lists this unclassified non-coding RNA (306 nucleotides) under Mucor heterogamus. Its description in RNAcentral is "partial internal transcribed spacer region". The stretch from base 1 to 46 matches the Rfam family "Eukaryotic small subunit ribosomal RNA", at positions 1786 to 1831 of the family's 1831-position model. The record is from RNAcentral. Lineage: Eukaryota; Fungi; Mucoromycota; Mucoromycetes; Mucorales; Mucoraceae.
AAGUCGUAACAAGGUUUCCGUAGGUGAACCUGCGGAAGGAUCAUUAAAUAAUUAUACUGAUCGUAGUGGUAAAAAAAGCUACGUAUCUUUAUUUUUACUGUGAACUGUUUUUAUUUCACGGUGCUUGAGGAAUUGCUCGGUACGUCAUAAUGGACAGGCUACCGAGAUGUUAACCGAACCGUGGUCAGGCUUAGGCCUGGUGUCCUAUUUAUUAUUUACCAAAAAAGAAUUCAGUAUAAAAAAUAUUGUAACAUAAGCCUAAAAAACUUAUAAAAACAACUUUUAACAACGGAUCUCUUGGUUCUC